This 659-nucleotide ribosomal RNA is filed under the name Hydrogenophaga sp. RNAcentral describes it as "bacterial SSU rRNA". It matches the Rfam family "Bacterial small subunit ribosomal RNA", at positions 78 to 734 of the family's 1533-position model. The record is from RNAcentral. Lineage: Bacteria; Pseudomonadati; Pseudomonadota; Betaproteobacteria; Burkholderiales; Comamonadaceae.
CGCAAGGUGCUGACGAGUGGCGAACGGGUGAGUAAUGCAUCGGAACGUGCCCGGUCGUGGGGGAUAACACUUCGAAAGAAGUGCUAAUACCGCAUACGAUCUAUGGAUGAAAGCGGGGGACCGUAAGGCCUCGCGCGAUCGGAGCGGCCGAUGUCAGAUUAGGUAGUUGGUGGGGUAAAGGCUCACCAAGCCAACGAUCUGUAGCUGGUCUGAGAGGACGACCAGCCACACUGGGACUGAGACACGGCCCAGACUCCUACGGGAGGCAGCAGUGGGGAAUUUUGGACAAUGGGCGCAAGCCUGAUCCAGCAAUGCCGCGUGCAGGAAGAAGGCCUUCGGGUUGUAAACUGCUUUUGUACGGAACGAAAAGGUCCUGGCUAAUACCCGGGGCUGAUGACGGUACCGUAAGAAUAAGCACCGGCUAACUACGUGCCAGCAGCCGCGGUAAUACGUAGGGUGCAAGCGUUAAUCGGAAUUACUGGGCGUAAAGCGUGCGCAGGCGGUCUUGUAAGACAGGCGUGAAAUCCCCGGGCUCAACCUGGGAAUUGCGCUUGUGACUGCAAGGCUGGAGUGCGGCAGAGGGGGAUGGAAUUCCGCGUGUAGCAGUGAAAUGCGUAGAUAUGCGGAGGAACACCGAUGGCGAAGGCAAUCCCCUGGGC